Small RNA from Streptomyces swartbergensis, 85 nucleotides. It matches the Rfam family "Streptomyces RNA 6106". From Rfam's summary of the family: Identified by deep sequencing of transcriptome at the end of exponential growth phase. Appears smaller on northern blot than sequencing transcript. The record is from Rfam. NCBI's taxonomy places the organism in Bacteria, Bacillati, Actinomycetota, Actinomycetes, Kitasatosporales, Streptomycetaceae.
GCGCCGUCCCGAGCGGCGUUCAGUGGCUCGAACGGGCCAGUGAGGCGGGGGUGGUGCCGUGUCGGCGCAGCACCACCCCCGCUUC